This is a long non-coding RNA of Asparagus officinalis (garden asparagus), 414 nucleotides long. RefSeq lists it as uncharacterized. The transcript is spliced from 2 exons. NCBI's taxonomy places the organism in Eukaryota, Viridiplantae, Streptophyta, Magnoliopsida, Asparagales, Asparagaceae. The record is from RefSeq and is a predicted model, not a curated record.
GCCGUAGAAAGAAACGACAAGAGAAGAAAACAAAAGACGGCAAAAGAAUAGCAAAAGAAGAAAAAAAAAUUAUUGGAUCCGUGCGUUGAAAGAGAGUGAGCAAUGGUUGUUUGCACGAUAAUGAAGAGACUCGGGAUUAGGUGGAAUUGAGGAUUGUCAAAUUCUUAGAACGAAGCAAAGAAUAAUUCGAGAUUGUUAUUGUCUUCUAGGCGAAGGUUAAAUAAAGUCUUUAAUGUUUAGAUGAUGAAUUGAGAGUUUGUAAUAAUGAGAUUCUUUCUUUAGGUUGAGAUUUAUUUGGAGUUGAGGAAUAUUUAUUUUUAUCAAGUUAAUUGGCUUAGUUGACUUUUGGGAUUAUAGAGAAUAUUUGUUGUUGGUUUUAGUUCAAUGAAGAGAUUUGUUUUAGUGUUCUUUUAA